UACAGAGGCCCCGAGCGUUAAUCGGAAUUACUGGGCUUAAAGGGUGCGUAGGCGGACCAGAAAGUGCUUUGUGAAAGCCCCCGGCUCAACCGGGGAACUGCGGGGCAUACUGCUGGUCUUGAGGCAAGUAAGGGUUGCGAGAACUGUAGGUGGAGCGGUGAAAUGCGUAGAUAUCUACAGGAAUGCCGAUGGUGAAGACGCGCAACUGGGCUUGUCCUGACGCUGAGGCACGAAAGCGUGGGGAGCAAAC
RNAcentral lists this ribosomal RNA (250 nucleotides) under uncultured bacterium. RNAcentral's name for it is "partial 16S ribosomal RNA". It matches the Rfam family "Bacterial small subunit ribosomal RNA", at positions 524 to 773 of the family's 1533-position model. The record is from RNAcentral.